This is a long non-coding RNA of Balaenoptera musculus (blue whale), 1306 nucleotides long. RefSeq lists it as uncharacterized. Lineage: Eukaryota; Metazoa; Chordata; Mammalia; Artiodactyla; Balaenopteridae. The record is from RefSeq and is a predicted model, not a curated record. The transcript has 4 exons.
GGUACAUCAGAGACUAAUCGCAUCAUCAUAAAGCAGCCCUUUAUCAUGUCUCAGGUACCCGCCCAGCACACUUACCACCAGUAGAUUGGAUUGGUGACACAGCUCUGUCCGCAGCCGAGACUUCGUGUCCUAGGACGCAGGGCAGCCCAUCAGAGGGAGACCCAGGGAGGCACAGGACGCCCUCUUACCCAAACUGAGGUCCCCAAGACCGGCCUUCCACCUACCGGAGGUGAUCUGUGCUCGGAUCCGGAUGCCCUGACUUGGGGAAGCAGAUAUAGAUCGAUAGAUCAUCUUCGGGGAAGUUUGCACAAGGAUCCUGAUACCACCACAUUUUGCCAAAUCUUGUUUCCCAUGAGAAAGGGAAAAGAUCAUUCAUUUAAAGGUGGAUCUUGUUUCCAGGUUCAAUUUAAAUGUGAAAAAGGCUUCUUCGGAGAGAACCAGCAGAUCAAUCCACAGACCAGCCCUCCAGCCCACUGUCAUGCUGGAACAGGCAGGCCCUUCCAAGGAGCACAAAUUGCUGUACUGUUGUCACUACAGAGCCACUCUGCUAGAUUUCUGAGGAGUUAUAAAGGACACACAAAAAAACCUCUGAGGAUGAAAGAAGGGAAAUACUGUCCCUAUCCCAGGAAAUUAGAGACAGCUGGACUUCUGUGCGUACCAGAGUGAAUGAUCAAACAAGCCAUUACAAUACUGUACAUGUAGCUGUGAACAUAACUUUUUGGAGAACAUCAUACUAACUAGAAUUAUGCAGGGUGCUUUUUUAAUGACAUGAACAAAGCAGUUUUAAUACCAAUAAGGUUUCUGGGUCCACUGUGUUGAGCAAGCAACAUGGAACCGUGGAUCUAGCCUUGGCCCUUCCACGGACAGCCCAUGACACUCUGAGUAGGUCCAUCCUUUUAUUUCUUGGAUUCUCCUCCAGCAAAAUCAGAUAAUACUUCCUACUUGUCAAUAUACCCUGGAGAGCCCUUGAGAAGCUUAGCAGUGGGAUCCAAAAUCCCAAGGAUAUUCGUAUUUCUCAUGGAUGCCGCCUGGGGUGUCUGCCUAGCUCACAGGAUCCCCAAACUAGCCCCUGUGAUGCAGGAGGUUUGUCAUAGAAAAUGGUCAUUUCUGGACUGCAGGAGGCUAAGUGCUUGUCCACAGCUGAUCAGUACAGGCAUAGACACUUCAUUCAAACUGGGCUGACUAAAUUCUUCUCCCAGGACACCACAUGGAAAGACGGAAAGGCACACAAAGAUUGGAAACUGUCCAUCUAGAGAGUCGUAAGACUUUUUUUAAAACUCUCAGCUUGGGCUUCCCUGGUGGCGCA